AUAAAGUUUUAUUUUAGUUAAAAAAUUUAUUUUAUUUUAAUUUUAUAUGUAAAUUUAUGUAUGAAAUUAUAAUUAUCUUAAAGAUAAUUAUAAAGUUUUAUUCGCAGUAUUUUGUUUUAAAUAUUAAAGAAAUUUAGAUUUAGUUAUAAAAAUUAGUAUGGGUUAAUUUUGUGCCAGCAUCCGCGGUUAUACAAAAUAUACAAAUAAAUUUUAUUAUUUGUAGUUAAAUUAAUUUUUUUAAAGUAAAAAUAUAUAAAUAAGGUGAAAUUUAUUAUAUUAUUUAAUUUAUUAAUUAAUUGAUUGAAGCUAGUAAAUUUUUAUAUUAAACUAGGAUUAGAUACCCUAUUAUUAAAAAUGUAAAUAAAAGUAAAUUAGGUAGUAAGAGAUAUAGUCUUGAAACUUAAAAAAUUUGGCGGUAUUUUAAUCUAUUUAGAGGAACCUGUUCCAUAAUCGAUAGUCCACGAUAAAUUUUACAUAAUUUUAUUUAGUUUAUAUAUCGUCGUUAUAAGAAGAUUUUAUAAGAAAAAUAAUUUUCUAAUAUUUUUAUUUGAAUAUAUUUCAGAUCAAGGUGUAGCUUAUAAUUAUGAGGAAAUGGGUUACAAUAAUUUUAAUUAUAAUGGAGUAUAAAAUGAAUAUUUUAUAUAAAGGUGGAUUUAAUAGUAAAAUAAUUUAUAUAUUUUAUUUGAUUUUAGUUCUAAAAUAUGCACAUAUCGCCCGUCACUCUCUUUAUUUAAAAAGAGAUAAGUCGUAACAAAGUAGGUGUACUGGAAAGUGUACCUAGAAUGAACAA
RNAcentral lists this non-coding RNA (790 nucleotides) under Ctenochauliodes punctulatus. Lineage: Eukaryota; Metazoa; Arthropoda; Insecta; Megaloptera; Corydalidae. The record is from RNAcentral.